UCCUACGGGAGGCAGCAGUGGGGAAUAUUGCACAAUGGGCGCAAGCCUGAUGCAGCCAUGCCGCGUGUAUGAAGAAGGCCUUCGGGUUGUAAAGUACUUUCAGCAGUGAGGAAGGUGGUGUCGUUAAUAGCGGCCUCAUUUGACGUUAGCUGCAGAAGAAGCACCGGCUAACUCCGUGCCAGCAGCCGCGGUAAUACGGAGGGUGCGAGCGUUAAUCGGAAUUACUGGGCGUAAAGCGCAUGCAG
RNAcentral lists this ribosomal RNA (245 nucleotides) under Vibrio neptunius. Its description in RNAcentral is "partial 16S ribosomal RNA". It matches the Rfam family "Bacterial small subunit ribosomal RNA", at positions 337 to 574 of the family's 1533-position model. The record is from RNAcentral. Lineage: Bacteria; Pseudomonadati; Pseudomonadota; Gammaproteobacteria; Vibrionales; Vibrionaceae.